ACUCAAAUGAAUUGACGGGGACCCGCACAACCUGUGGAGCGUGUGGUUCAAUUCGAGACGAAACGAAGGACCUCACCAGGGUUUGACAUGCAAUCGUUUAUUUUCCUGGAAACAGGAAGAAAUCCGCAAGGAUGAUUGCACAGGUGCUGCAUGGCUGUCGUCAGCUCGUGCCGUGAGGUGUUCCCUUAAGUGGGGAAACGAGCGCAACCCCCAUCUAAUGUUAAAUUAUUCAUUAGAAACUGACGCUAUUUAAGUAGCGAAGGAAGGAGGGGAAGACGUCAAGUCAGCACGGCCCUUAUACCCUGGGCCACACACACACUACAAUGGCGAAGAACAAUGAGCAGCAAGCCGGCAACGGCAAGCGAAUCUCAGAAAUUUCGCCUCAGUUCAGAUUGGAGUCUGAAACCCGACUCCAUGAAGCCGGAAUAGGUAGUAAUCGCGGAUCAGCAUGCCGCGGUGAAUACGUUCUCGGGUCUUGUACACACCGCCCGU
RNAcentral lists this ribosomal RNA (492 nucleotides) under uncultured bacterium. RNAcentral describes it as "partial 16S ribosomal RNA". It matches the Rfam family "Bacterial small subunit ribosomal RNA", at positions 899 to 1397 of the family's 1533-position model. The record is from RNAcentral.